RNAcentral lists this ribosomal RNA (252 nucleotides) under uncultured bacterium. Its description in RNAcentral is "partial 16S ribosomal RNA". It matches the Rfam family "Bacterial small subunit ribosomal RNA", at positions 524 to 776 of the family's 1533-position model. The record is from RNAcentral.
UACGAAGGGAGCUAGCGUUGUUCGGAAUUACUGGCGUAAAGCGCGCGUAGGUUGUCUGAAAAGUUGGGAGUGAAAUCCCGGGGCUUAACCCCGGAACUGCUUUCAAAACUGUUAGACUAGAGAAUGGUAGGGGAAAGUGGAAUUCCCGGUGUAGAGGUGAAAUUCGUAGAUAUCGGGAGGAACACCAGAGGCGAAGGCGACUUUCUGGGCCAUUUCUGACACUAAAGCGCGACAGCGUGGGGAGCAAACAGG